This 468-nucleotide ribosomal RNA is filed under the name uncultured bacterium. RNAcentral's name for it is "partial 16S ribosomal RNA". It matches the Rfam family "Bacterial small subunit ribosomal RNA", at positions 28 to 507 of the family's 1533-position model. The record is from RNAcentral.
GACGAACGCUGGCGGCGUGCUUAACACAUGCAAGUCGAACGGAAAGGCCCUGCUUUUGUGGGUUGCUCGAGUGGCGAACGGGCGAGUAACACGUGAGUAACCUGCCUUUGACUUUGGGAUAACUUCAGGUAACUGGGGAUAAUACCGGAUAGGAGCUCCUGUUGCAUGGUGGGGGUUGGAAAGUUUCGGCUGUUGGGGAUGGACUCGCGGCUUAUCAGCUUGUUGGUGGGGUAGUGGCUUACCAAGGCUUCGACGGGUAGACGGCCUGAGAGGGUGACCGGCCACCUUGGUCCUGCGAUACGGCGCAGACGGCAAAGUGAGGCAGUAGUGGAGAAUAUUGCGCAGUGGGCGCAAGUCAGUGGCAGCGACUCCGCGUGCGUGAAGACGGCUUUCGAGUGAUAACCCGCUUUCGCCUAUGUCGAAGCGUGAGUGACGGUAAUGAGUAAAGAAGCACCGGCUAACUACGUG